Molecule: ribosomal RNA, 408 nt
Filed under: uncultured bacterium
Lineage: Bacteria
Description: bacterial SSU rRNA
Rfam family: Bacterial small subunit ribosomal RNA
Source: RNAcentral
GAUGAACGCUGGCGGCGUGCCUAAUACAUGCAAGUCGAGCGGUAAGGCCUCUUCGGAGGUACACGAGCAGCGGACGGCUGAGUAACGCGUAGGAACAUACCCCAAAGUGAGGGAUAACUGCUCGAAAGAGUAGCUAAUACCGCAUGUGAUCUAAGGAUUAAAGCUUCGGCGCUUUGGGAAUGGCCUGCGUAUGAUUAGUUUGUUGGUGAGGUAAUGGCUCACCAAGACUACGAUCAUUAGCUGGUCUGAGAGGAUGAUCAGCCAGACUGGGACUGAGACACGGCCCAGACUCCUACGGGAGGCAGCAGUAGGGAAUUUUCCACAAUGGGCGAAAGCCUGAUGGAGCAACGCCGCGUGCAGGAUGAAGGCCCUCGGGGUCGUAAACUGCUUUUAUAUGUGAAGAUUAUG